This 332-nucleotide unclassified non-coding RNA is filed under the name soil metagenome. Its description in RNAcentral is "partial contains 5.8S ribosomal RNA, internal transcribed spacer 2, and large subunit ribosomal RNA". The stretch from base 1 to 120 matches the Rfam family "5.8S ribosomal RNA", at positions 35 to 154 of the family's 154-position model. The record is from RNAcentral.
GAUGAAGAACGUAGCGAAAUGCGAUACGUAAUGUGAAUUGCAGAUUUCAGUGAAUCAUCGAAUCUUUGAACGCACAUUGCGCCCGCUAGUAUUCUGGCGGGCAUGCCUGUUCGAGCGUCAUUUCAACCAUCAAGCCCUAGGCUUGCGUUGGAGCCCUGCGGCUGCCGCAGGCUUCCAAAUCCAGUGGCGGGCUCGUCGUCGUACCGAGUGCAGUAAACAUCCUCGCUCAGGGAACGUGACGGGUUCUUGCCGUGAAACCCCCCACAUAUCAAGGUUGACCUCGGAUCAGGUAGGAAUACCCGCUGAACUUAAGCAUAUCAAUAAGCGGAGGA